This 2424-nucleotide long non-coding RNA is filed under the name Zonotrichia albicollis (white-throated sparrow). RNAcentral's name for it is "lncRNA (ENSZALG00000005109.1)". The record is from RNAcentral. Lineage: Eukaryota; Metazoa; Chordata; Aves; Passeriformes; Passerellidae.
ACACCUGGAUAUAGCUGGGGUACAUCUGGAUACACCUGGGGUACACCUGGGCACACCUGGAUACACCUGGGCACACCUGGGGGCACCUGGGCGCACCUGGGGUACACCUGGGGUACAUCUGGAUAUACCUGGGGUACACCUGGACACACCUGGGGCACACCUGGAUGCACCUGGGGCACAGCUGAGUACACCUGGAUAUAUCUGGGGUGCACCUGGAUACACCUGGGGCACACCUGGGCACAGCUGAAUAUACCUGGGCACAGCUGGAUACACCUGGGGCACACCUGGGUGCACUUGGGGCACACCUGGGUGUAUCUGGAUAUACCUGGGGUACACCUGGACACACCUGGGGGCACCUGGGGUACACCUGGGGCACACCUGGAUAUAGCUGGAGUACAUCUGGAUACACCUGGGGUACACCUGGGCACAACUGGGGGCACCUCUGGAUACACCUGGGCACACCUGAGGGCACCUGGGCACACCUGGGGUACACCUGGGUGCACUUGGGGUAUACCUGGGUGCACCUGGAUACACCUGGGGGCACCUGGACACACCUGGACACACCUGGAUGCACCUGGAGCACACGUGAGAUACAUCUGGGUACACCUGGGCACAACAGGAUACAUGUUGGGCACACCUGGGGUACACCUGGAUAUACCUGGGGGCACAUGAGGCUCCUCUGGGUACACCUGGGCACAGCUGGAUACACCUGGGCACACCUGAAUAUACCUGGGGUACACCUGGGGCACACCUGGAUACAUCUGGGCACAGCUGGAUACACUUGGGGUUUCACCUGGGUACACCUGGAUAUACCUGGGCACACGUUGGGUAUACGUGGGGCACACCUGGACACACCUCGGGUACACCUGAGCGCAGCUGGAUACACCUGGGUUACUCGGGGACGCACCUGGGGGAAGGUGGAGGUGUCUGGGGCACACCUGGGCACACCUGGAUACACUUGGGCACACGUGGGGCACAGCUGGGCACAGCUGGGGCACUUGUGGAUACACCUAGGUACACCUGGGGCACACCUGGAUACACCUGGGCACAGCUGGAUAUACCUUGGGCACGCCUGGGGGAAGGUGGGAAGUGUCUUGGACACACCUGGGCACACCUGUGACACACCUGUGACACACCUGAGCCCCGCCCCGCCCUCACUUCUGUCCGUCUGUCCCUGCAGACCAGAAAGAUGGCGGAUACCGCAAGGGCGACGGGUACCUGCGGCGCGGCGGCUUCCGGCAGGAGCGCAGCAACUACUGAGCCUCACCUGGGCCAUGGCGGGACCCUCACCUGCCCCACGGAGGCCUUACCUGCCCCACAGAGGCCUUACCUGCCCCAUAAAUCCCUCACUUGCCCCAUGGAUCCCUCACCUACCCCAUAAAUCCCUCACCUGUUCCAUCAAGGGUCCCGCUGUUGAAAAUUAAUAAAGGAAUUAUUAAAGACGGCGUUAACGAGGUGUUAAUUAAUGUGGUAAUGAAGAGCGGGGUCAGGGCUGCCCCACAGAUCCUCGCUCUGGCCCAUAAGUGACCCCCAAAGCUUCUCCCCCUCACGUUUUCCCGCCUUUUUGCUUCCCCUCACGUUUUCCCGCCUUUUUUCGUCCCCUCACGUUUUCCCGCCUUUUUUUCCCCCCCACGUUUUCCCGCCUUUUUUUCCCUCUCACGUUUUCCUGCCUUUUUUUUCUUCUCACAUUUUCCCACCUUUUUUACCCCCUCAUCUUUUCCUGCCUUUUUUACCUCCUUAUUUUUUUGCCUUUUUUUUUCUCCCCUCACGUUUUCCCGCCUUUUUUCUCUUCCCCUCACGUUUUCUUGCUUUUUCUCCCAUCAUGGCUUCCCUUCCCCCCAUCAUUUUAUGAUUCCUUUUCAUGGUUUUUCUUCGCUCUGUUCCCUCAUGGCCACCCCUUUUCUCAUUUUCUUCAUCCUUUCCCUUCGUGGCUUUCCACAAUUUUCUCCUCUCAGAGAUCUGGCCAUUUUUUUCUGUUUUCCACCUCUUUGUUCUCUCACAAUUUCCUACUUUUUUAUUCUUUUAUGGCUGUCUCAUUUCCCUGUUCCCUCAUGGCUCCCAUCAUUUUCUCCCUUCACAGUUUUUUACCAUUUUCUCCCUUUGUCCCCUCACAAUUUCCCACCAUUUUUUCCUGUCAUGGCUGCCCCACUACCACGUUCCCUCAUGGCUUCCCUUCUGUCUCUCCCGUCACACUUUACCUCCAUUUUAUCUUCUCACAAUUUCCUGCCAUUUUCUCCCUUCACGGCUUCCCUUCUUGUCCCUUCACAAUUUCCCAUUUUCUCCCCUCAUGGCUUCCCUUUCUCCUUGUUCUCUCACAAUUUCCCACCAUUUUGUUGCUUCACAGUUUUCCACCAUUUUCAUGGCCACCCCAUCUUCUUGUCCCAUCAUGGUUUCCCAUUAUUUUCUCCCUUCAUGGCUUCCUUU